CUCACAUGGCUUUGGUCACCCCGAGUUUAUAGUAAAAGACACUUGCCCAAGAUGGAGAAAUGGCUGCCAUCGGCCGAGCAAAUGUCCGUGAAAGAAGACAACUCGAAAGACUGACCUGUCCAAGCUAAUAUUUGUACACACCUCCACCUGGACACAUCCACGCAGAACUAAUCACAACACUAAUUAUAUAAAUAUUUAUAUAUAUAUAUAUAUGUAUGUAUAUACAUACACACAUCAACACUAACACAGACACACACACACGUAUAUACACACAUAUUAUCAUAUAUAUUUAUAUAUAUAUCCAGUUGGUGUGUAUUCUACAUCGGCUAUCAAUCUAUAUUUAAUCAGAGACACAAAAGGAAACCACGCGAGGACGAACCAACGACCCAUGCAAACAAACGAAAUUUUCCCUCAAUAUCGCCCAAGUUGUAACUAGAAAUGCUUAUCUACUUGAUGUACCUUAACGGGUACAUCCAGAUCCCUAGCCUGAGCGAGUCUCAACCGCUUCUUCAACCACCGCCUCCUUCUCCUUUUCCUUUUCCAUCUUAUUGAUGCAGUCAUCCUGUAAAUACUGAUAUUAUCAAUGCAAUUCAACGUUUGUAUUCUUUUGGAUAGAUUACAUGAAAAUAUCAAAUAUAUCACAUGAUAUUUACUGUACAAGCUUCAAUGAUUCAAUGAUAGAAUGGUCAAAGAAUAAAUAUCAUUAUACACCAAUCUAAUACGAUAAUUUAUCCGAUGUUGGUAUAGUCCACUUGUUCAACGUGUAUUGUGUUAUUAGCUAUUUCAAAGAGUGUCCUUCGGUCUGGUAGGUCACCGAGUCAGUUUGUCAUUUAAUUCCAUCUGUAGUUGAAAUCAACGUGGGUAGUUGCUGGAGUUGUUACCGGGGAAAAAAAAACAAACAACAGCAACAAAAGCAAGGACAAUAGUAGCGGCAUCAAGAAUAAUAACAACAGUAGCAACAACGGUAAAGGCGUCACGACCUGCCAGAAAUAGCAGCCAAAUUCUCUGGAAUUACAUUCCGGUAUUGUCUCUUUCUCAUUAUAAAAAUCAGGAAGAAAAUAUUGCAGAAUGUCGUAGAUAUGCAGACUGACAGGAUGCUCAUGGCUGGAGUGUCUUUCAUGCAUCAGCCAGAUAAGCUAGGGCUGGCCUGGGAUUAAACAGCACCACCA
Octopus sinensis (East Asian common octopus) is the source of this 1169-nucleotide long non-coding RNA. RefSeq lists it as uncharacterized. NCBI's taxonomy places the organism in Eukaryota, Metazoa, Mollusca, Cephalopoda, Octopoda, Octopodidae. The record is from RefSeq and is a predicted model, not a curated record. The transcript has 3 exons.